This 70-nucleotide transfer RNA is filed under the name Phyllostomus discolor (pale spear-nosed bat). RNAcentral describes it as "tRNA-Trp". Lineage: Eukaryota; Metazoa; Chordata; Mammalia; Chiroptera; Phyllostomidae. The record is from RNAcentral.
AGAAGUUUAGGUUAAUCCCUAGACCAAGAGCCUUCAAAGCUCUAAGCAAAUAUCGAAUAUUUAACUUCUG